AGGAAAAGAAAAUAACAAUGAUUCCUCUAGUAACUGCGAGUGAAGAGGGAAAAGCUCAAAUUUUAAAUCUGUUAGGUUUACCUAACCGAGUUGUAAUUUGAAGAAGCGUUUUCUGCGAAUUUGGUUAGUCCAAAUCCUUUGGAAUAAGGUAUCAUGGAGGGUGAGAAUCCCGUUCGGUUAACCAAAGCGCUUUACGAUACGCUUUCAAAGAGUCAAGUUGUUUGGGAUUGCAGCUUAAAAUGGGAGGUAAAUUUCUCCUAAGGCUAAAUAUUGGCGAGAGACCGAUAGCGAACAAGUACCGUGAGGGAAAGAUGAAAAGAACUUUGAAAAGAGAGUUAAACAGUACGUGAAAUUGUUGAAAGGGAAACGAUUAAAGUCAGUCGUACCUACGAGUAAUCAACCUACUCGAGUGCGAUCUUGUGGGUAUGUUUGAGCUUAAAAACCUUCAUGCUUACAAAUUGGUGCUCUUUGGGCGUACUUUCUCGUAUGGUAGGUUAACAUCAAUUUCGAUCGCUAUAAAAUGACUGGAGGAAUGUAGCUUCGACUUCGGUCGAAGUGUUAUAGCCUUUGGUAGAUGUAAUGAUUGGGAUUGAGGAUUGCAACGGAUACCCUCUGGGCUAUUCGUCUGAUCUCUGGAAGUUACCUUGGUGUCGAAAGCGUGCUUACGAUAUUAAGGUUGACGGCCAAUAGGUUAGAACGUGAUUAAAUUCGUUAAGGAUGUUGACGUAAUGGCUUUAAACGAC
RNAcentral lists this ribosomal RNA (743 nucleotides) under Oehlia cf. diaphanum 589. Its description in RNAcentral is "eukaryotic LSU rRNA". It matches the Rfam family "Eukaryotic large subunit ribosomal RNA", at positions 54 to 648 of the family's 3401-position model. Lineage: Eukaryota; Fungi; Glomeromycota; Glomeromycetes; Glomerales; Glomeraceae. The record is from RNAcentral.